ACCACGUGACAUUCUUGGCAGAUAUCUCGGUGACGUCAGCUGUUACUAAAAUUAGACGAAGUUCGCGUCGUAAGCUGUUUUGACCGUCGACAGUUUUGUGUCGUUUUGGACAAAAUGGGACCCAAGAAAUCGGCUAAAAGUAGUAAAAAAUCGAACGCUGGCGAGAAGAAAGAAGAAAAUAAAUCGGAUCAAAAAAGCGAAGACAUCGUAACUUCCGAUGUACCCGCCGACACCCAGUCAGAUGUAACUAGUGGCAAGAAAACAGCAAAGCCUAAGGCAUCCAGAGCAACAAAACGGAAAAGACCCGCAAGCAAGAGCAAGAGUUCUAAAAAGAGGAAGACUUAAUAUGCCAGAGUGAAGGUGAAUAUUCUUAUCGUCGGUUGGAUUUUUGGCAUCGAAUCUCACCAUCUCAUUUCAUUGAUAUUUUUCAUGACUUUUCCUCAUCGUUCAUAUCCAUACCAUUAACAAUCGGUGUGUAGCACUUGAAUAAAGUUAAUUCUUUUUUUUUUUUU
Centruroides sculpturatus (bark scorpion) is the source of this 512-nucleotide long non-coding RNA. RefSeq lists it as uncharacterized. The record is from RefSeq and is a predicted model, not a curated record. The transcript is spliced from 2 exons. Lineage: Eukaryota; Metazoa; Arthropoda; Arachnida; Scorpiones; Buthidae.